RNAcentral lists this ribosomal RNA (207 nucleotides) under uncultured bacterium. RNAcentral describes it as "partial 16S ribosomal RNA". It matches the Rfam family "Bacterial small subunit ribosomal RNA", at positions 568 to 774 of the family's 1533-position model. The record is from RNAcentral.
CGCGUAGGCGGCUUUAUAAGUCUGGAGUGAAAGUCCUCUUUUCAAGGGAGGAAUUGCUUUGGAAACUAUAGAGCUUGAGUGCAGGAGAGGUUAUCGGAAUUCCCGGUGUAGCGGUGAAAUGCGUAGAUAUCGGGAGGAACAUCGGUGGCGAAGGCGGGUAACUGGACUGCAACUGACGCUGAGGCGCGAAAAUGUGGGGAGCAAACA